GUGAGGAAUAUUGGUCAAUGGACGAGAGUCUGAACCAGCCAAGUAGCGUGAAGGAUGACUGCCCUAUGGGUUGUAAACUUCUUUUAUAAGGGAAUAAAGUGAGGGACGUGUCCCUUUUUGUAUGUACCUUAUGAAUAAGGAUCGGCUAACUCCGUGCCAGCAGCCGCGGUAAUACGGAGGAUCCAAGCGUUAUCCGGAUUUAUUGGGUUUAAAGGGAGCGUAGGUUGACAUAUAAGUCAGCUGUGAAAGUUUACGGCUCAACCGUGAAAUUGCAGUUGAUACUGUAUGUCUUGAGUGUACAAGAGGUAGGCGGAAUUCGUGGUGUAGCGGUGAAAUGCUUAGAUAUCACGAAGAACUCCAAUUGCGAAGGCAGCUCACUGGGGUACAACUGACACUGAGGCUCGAAAGUGUGGGUAUCAAACAGGAUUAGAAACCCUGGUAGUCC
This 445-nucleotide ribosomal RNA is filed under the name uncultured bacterium. RNAcentral describes it as "partial 16S ribosomal RNA". It matches the Rfam family "Bacterial small subunit ribosomal RNA", at positions 354 to 796 of the family's 1533-position model. The record is from RNAcentral.